Long non-coding RNA from Syzygium oleosum, 550 nucleotides. RefSeq lists it as uncharacterized. The record is from RefSeq and is a predicted model, not a curated record. The transcript has 2 exons. Lineage: Eukaryota; Viridiplantae; Streptophyta; Magnoliopsida; Myrtales; Myrtaceae.
UCCAUACCAUGGACGAAGCAUACGAGUGUUUGACCAUGUUUGAUUUUUGUGUAAUCCAAAUCUCUUGACCGUAUUUUGCUCCUUUAAAAAUCCUCUUAAAAAACCGGUUGUUUUUUUCAGAACAGUCCGCUCUCUUGGUCGGCCUCGACUCAUCUAAUCCUCAUCUUGAAAGUUUUUGAUCCAAACUUCCACAAUUCUUGGAAUCGUGAUCCAACUUGUCCGAGUCAUAUCUAACUCCACAGCAAGGAGUUCGGACCAAUUCCACUAUCUUGGAAUCAUGUCCAAUCUCACUAUCUUAGAGUGAAGACCAUCUCCCGUAAUCUUUGAGUUGGGUUCAAUCACGCUAUCUUGAAAUUGAAGCUAACUACCACGAUUUUGGAGUUGUGAAUUCUAGUUCAUCUCGCAUGCCAAGCCGUCCAUCGGGCCAAUUAAAAUGAAGAAAGAAAUGUAAUAAAAGAUGCGAGUGCAGGACUAAGCUAAGCAAAUGUUUUUGUUUGAGGAUCCAAUCGCACCGGUAUCGACGAACUCAAUUCUUAGUUUUCUCAUGAAA